GGGGGCGUGGCGGAAUGGCAGACGCUACGGACUUAAAAUCCGUUGACCGUAUAGGUCGUGUGGGUUCAAGUCCCACCGCCCCCA
This 84-nucleotide transfer RNA is filed under the name Caldora sp. SIO3E6. RNAcentral describes it as "tRNA-Leu". It matches the Rfam family "tRNA". Rfam says of the family: Transfer RNA (tRNA) molecules are approximately 80 nucleotides in length. Their secondary structure includes four short double-helical elements and three loops (D, anti-codon, and T loops). Lineage: Bacteria; Bacillati; Cyanobacteriota; Cyanophyceae; Coleofasciculales; Coleofasciculaceae. The record is from RNAcentral.